CUAUACAUGCAGUCGAGCGGACAGAUGGGAGCUUGCUCCCUGAUGUUAGCGGCGGACGGGUGAGUAACACGUGGGUAACCUGCCUGUAAGACUGGGAUAACUCCGGGAAACCGGGGCUAAUACCGGAUGGUUGUUUGAACCGCAUGGUUCAAACAUAAAAGGUGGCUUCGGCUACCACUUACAGAUGGACCCGCGGCGCAUUAGCUAGUUGGUGAGGUAACGGCUCACCAAGGCAACGAUGCGUAGCCCACCUGAGAGGGUGAUCGGCCACACUGGGACUGAGACACGGCCCAUACUCCUACGGGAGGCAGCAGUAGGGAAUCUUCCGCAAUGGACGAAAGUCUGACGGAGCAACGCCGCGUGAGUGAUGAAGGUUUUCGGAUCGUAAAGCUCUGUUGUUAGGGAAGAACAAGUACCGUUCGAAUAGGGCGGUACCUUGACGGUACCUAACCAGAAAGCCACGGCUAACUACGUGCCAGCAGCCGCGGUAAUACGUAGGUGGCAAGCGUUGUCCGGAAUUAUUGGGCGUAAAGGGCUCGCAGGCGGUUUCUUAAGUCUGAUGUGAAAGCCCCCGGCUCAACCGGGGAGGGUCAUUGGAAACUGGGGAACUUGAGUGCAGAAGAGGAGAGUGCAAUUCCACGUGUAGCGGUGAAAUGCGUAGAGAUGUGGAGGAACACCAGUGGCGAAGGCGACUCUCUGGUCUGUAACUGACGCUGAGGAGCGAAAGCGUGAGGAGCGAACAGGAUUAGAUACCCUGGUAGUCCACGCCGUAAACGAUGAGUGCUAAGUGUUAGGGGGUUUCCGCCCCUUAGUGCUGCAGCUAACGCAUUAAGCACUCCGCCUGGGGAGUACGGUCGCAAGACUGAAACUCAAAGGAAUUGACGGGGGCCCGCACAAGCGGUGGAGCAUGUGGUUUAAUUCGAAGCAACGCGAAGAACCUUACCAGGUCUUGACAUCCUCUGACAAUCCUAGAGAUAGGACGUCCCCUUCGGGGGCAGAGUGACAGGUGGUGCAUGGUUGUCGUCAGCUCGUGUCGUGAGAUGUUGGGUUAAGUCCCGCAACGAGCGCAACCCUUGAUCUUAGUUGCCAGCAUUCAGUUGGGCACUCUAAGGUGACUGCCGGUGACAAACCGGAGGAAGGUGGGGAUGACGUCAAAUCAUCAUGCCCCUUAUGACCUGGGCUACACACGUGCUACAAUGGACAGAACAAAGGGCAGCGAAACCGCGAGGUUAAGCCAAUCCCACAAAUCUGUUCUCAGUUCGGAUCGCAGUCUGCAACUCGACUGCGUGAAGCUGGAAUCGCUAGUAAUCGCGGAUCAGCAUGCCGCGGUGAAUACGUUCCCGGGCCUUGUACACACCGCCCGUCACACCACGAGAGUUUGUAACACCCGAAGUCGGUGAGGUAACCUU
Molecule: ribosomal RNA, 1409 nt
Filed under: Bacillus subtilis
Lineage: Bacteria; Bacillati; Bacillota; Bacilli; Caryophanales; Bacillaceae
Description: bacterial SSU rRNA
Rfam family: Bacterial small subunit ribosomal RNA
Source: RNAcentral